RNAcentral lists this ribosomal RNA (464 nucleotides) under uncultured bacterium. RNAcentral's name for it is "partial 16S ribosomal RNA". It matches the Rfam family "Bacterial small subunit ribosomal RNA", at positions 29 to 507 of the family's 1533-position model. The record is from RNAcentral.
ACGGACGCUGGCGGCGUGCUUCACACAUGCAAGUCGAACGGAAAGGCCCCAGCUUGCUGGGGUACUCGAGUGGCGAACGGGUGAGUAACACGUGGGUGAUCUGCCCUGCACUCUGGGAUAAGCCUGGGAAACUUGGUCUAAUACCGGAUAGGACCGUGCUUUAGUGUGUGCGGUGGAAAGUUUUUCGGUGCAGGAUGAGCCCGCGGCCUAUCAGCUUGUUGGUGGGGUAAUGGCCUACCAAGGCGGCGACGGGUAGCCGGCCUGAGAGGGUGUACGGCCACAUUGGGACUGAGACACGGCCCAGACUCCUACGGGAGGCAGCAGUGGGGAAUAUUGCACAAUGGGCGCAAGCCUGAUGCAGCGACGCCGCGUGGGGGAUGACGGCCUUCGGGUUGUAAACCCCUUUCGGCAGGGACGAAGCUUUUGUGACGGUACCUGCAUAAGAAGCACCGGCUAACUACGUG